Molecule: ribosomal RNA, 253 nt
Filed under: uncultured bacterium
Lineage: Bacteria
Description: partial 16S ribosomal RNA
Rfam family: Bacterial small subunit ribosomal RNA
Source: RNAcentral
UACAGAGGUGGCAAGCGUUGUUCGGAAUGACUGGGCGUAAAGGGCGCGUAGGCGGCCAUCUAAGUCAGACGUGAAAUCCCCCGGCUUAACCUGGGAACUGCGUCUGAUACUGGACGGCUUGAGUAUGGGAGAGGGAUGUAGAAUUCCAGGUGUAGCGGUGAAAUGCGUAGAUAUCUGGAGGAAGACCGGUGGCGAAGGCGGUCUGCUGGGCAGUUUCUGACACUGAUGCGCGACAGCGUGGGGAGCAAACAGG